AUUAUUCCUCUAACCAUUUUUUUUUUCAGCAGCAAAUUUAAGAACUGUUACUUUGAAUCUGUACUCUGUUCGUCUUACAAAAAUGUCCAUGCCGACCGAAAUUGACUGAUUUUUGUACAGACGAGUCAAAAUUUCCUGUACAAAACCCACUUUACUUACUCCAUUAUCUUCCUGUAAUCAUAACUUUCCGUCCUGUGUCCUUUUUAUCGUUUUUCUUAUGGCCUUGUUCUCUUUACCUGUCAGGAAAGAGAAGAGGAUCGAAAAGGAAAGUGGAAACUCCCUUUUGAGAUUAUAGAGUUUCUCUUCAAGCGCAUCAAUCUUUUGUAUCUUCUAUCAAUUGAUUUUGUAAGUGAAAAAUUCCAGUUGUUUGGUUUCUUCUUCUCUUUUUGACUCGUGCGGAAGAAGCAACUACAGAGCUAGCAGGCUGCAGUUGGGUUGCGGAGAAAACUAUAAAAUUUAUACAUGGAAGCCAUAAAGAAGCAAGCUAGUAAGCUCAGGGAGCAAGUCGCGAAGCAACAGCAAGUGGGUAACUCUUAAUUAUACUUCUUUCCUGAAAUUAAUUCUGUUCUGUUUUUGUUAAAGUAAUUAGCAACUGUUAAGAAAUUUCUUGAUUUUGAUGAUGAUGAUGAUGGAUUUGUGCGCAGAAGUAGUUAUAGAGGUCUAUCCGUGUAGUGGGUUAUUCAUGUAUUUCUAGAUGGCUAUGUGUGUCCAUCCGGGUAGCUGUUUUGUUGGAAAAUACACUAUGCAAGCAAUUAUGUGUGUGUGUGUGUGUGUGUGUGUGUGUGGGAGCAUGUACUGACUAUAAAGGCAUUCUCAGUUUGAUCCAUGCUAAACUUAGUGAUCCAAGAGCAACUUUGGAAACUAGACUUAGGGCUAUGUUUGGCAUAAAUAAAAGUUAAUAUAAGUGUGAAUUUACUGGUGAAUUUUAAGAUAUUUCUGGAUUUUUUUUUCAAACAUAGCCUAGGAGUUCUUAAAGAUUAGGUUUUUCCUUAAGUUUAUUAGGUACGUUAGAUUUCUAAUUUUACUAUUUAACUUUUCAAUUUAAAUUUGUUACUCCAUAGUGGUUUACAUUCAAUCUCUGUAGUUUUUACAUUCAAAUGAGUCUUUAAAAGCUAAAAACAAGUGAGGCGUGAAAAGUUAAGGGACAAAGCCUUUGAUGGGCUGCAUAAUAGGUGCAGGGAGACCAUUCUUCUGAAGGUACUUAUGAGAGGGAUGAGACUUUUCACCAAGCAAGUGUCUUGAGACUUGAGAGUGGAGUUGAUACAAUCCUUUUAAUCCAUGAAGCCAAUCUUAAAUCCAUCCUGGUAGAGUUUAUUACCCCAACCGGCCUUGUCUAACUAUUUUUAUCCCAUUUGAUAUCCGUGUGUCUUCGGAUACAGAUGGUGGGUUACUAACGUACACUUGGCAAAGGUAUUUUUCCUCUUAUGAUGGUAAUGUCAGUUAUUGCAUUAAAACUAGAUGUCCCAGAGGACUGUGAGUGCAGAAGACAACAAUUUCUUAGAACUUUGUGUUUAAAGCUAAGGGUACUAGAGAACCCAAUGAGAUUGUAAAUGACCUGAAUUGAAGGUUGGAAAUUGUGGGCUCUCAUGGGAAGCUGGCCUAGUUAUUUCUCCUGAAACUUAUGGGAGGAAGAGAGACAGGGGAAUUCAAAGUAACAAAUGUUAGCUGCUCUGAUUGGUUAGCAUACCUUAAAGUUAGAAGGGGAAGUUGAUUUUCCAGUUAAGAUUCUUAUUGGGUAUGUCAAUGGCCCAGGGAAUAUGUUUAAAUGUAAAAAGAUGGGUUGGAAAAUCUCUUAAUAUUCUAUCUUAACAUUAGGAAAUAAAUCUUUUUGAAAUUAUGGCAUACCAAUUAAGAAAUCCCACUAAAUAUGGAUAUGAAAUUUGAUUUGAUGUACCUAGUUUCCUAUUUUUUGUUCCUUCGUAAAAGCUCUAUAUAUACCCAUAUAUAUGCUCAUUCUUUGUUCCACAAGAAAUUCAGUCUCUCUCCAAAUUGUACAUGGUAUGUGGACCCUACGCUGUUGUUUUUUUAAAAAAGAAAGUUCGAAGCCUUGUCUCCUUAAAGUUGCUCUAGCACGUAUCCCUAGUGCACACCUAUUGUCUCUGUGUGUACCUGUGCACGUUAAGGUCGCCCUGAUAUGUUGUCUCCUCAACUUUCUUAAGUUUCUUUUUUUUUUUCCCAUGGCCUUCAUUGUUGCAUAGUUAACGCUAGCCUUCAUUGUUGGCUCCUUCAUUGCCGCACAGCUGACAUGGGCCUUUAUUAGUAGCUCCACCAGCCUUAAUCGCUAGGAUCCUUGUCGGACCUCUCUGUUGCCAGAUCCUUGCAGGAGGAGUCCAAUGCACAUUCUGGAGAAGAAAAUGUCAAAAAUAGAUAAAAAUGAUAUUCUUUUUCAACACCACUGAUCAGACGGAGUAGGUUCACAUCAACCGAUUCUGAAAAGGGAAAUUCAAUCAUCUCCUAGGAGCAAGACUGAAGGAAGGAGAUCGAAGAUUUGAUUUGUGGGAUGAAACAAAUUCAAUGAUCAUGUCAUCGGAGAAGCAUAAUGGUGCACACUUUCUUGCACUCUUAGGCAAGUUUUCUAUAUCUCAAGGAUUAUCUGUCUUAGAUGAUGAACCUAUUAGGAACUUGUGGAUUUUUAUCUCAUGACCCACAAAUCAUAUGACCAAUUCUUUUACUAAAUUUUAGUAUUUGUACCCCUUGUCCAAGUAAUUGAAAGAGAACCUUUGCAAAUAUUUCCGUCAUUAUCGUAGCUGAUCUAUUAGAUAUUCAUAUCCGUCCAUUUCUUAAAUUAAUAAAUGUUCUCCAUGUCCAUAAAUCCCACCGAUCUCAUAUGCAUACAAUAACUUACUCAUGAUAUAAGUUAUUGUGUACUUUUCCAUCCUUCUUAUUGUAUAUUUUAAGAGUGAUUUGGGGAAGAAGAUUGGACGUGCUAGGGAACAUAGCGAGUUCUUGUAUCUUGAAGAAUCUGGUAAAUGGAGUUUAGUAAAAAAUAAAGGAUCUCUGUCAUUUUUCUCAUUAUCCACAAAGACAUUAUUUGCCUUCAUCAUUUUAGACUUAGGCACCUGUCUUUUGGAAUUUUAAAACUAUGUUUCUUUCUUGAUUAAAGGAUUGAGGGUUUGAUACUUUUCAUCGUAAUGUGUGUGAAUAUGCAAAAUAUGGAUGUGUUCUUUUUCCAAUCUGCAAUCAAAGAAACUCAGACCUGUUUUAAUUGAUGGAUACUCAUAUUUAGGGACCUUUUUGUCUGACUUAUGAGUCUUUCUUUGAAUAAAAACUGAUGCAGAUCUCCAGAAAAAUUCAUUAAACUUGUUGGAAAUAUGCAACAAAGUAAUUCAAGUAUUGGAAAUAUGCAGAAAAUUAAAACAAGUGUUGGAAAUAUGCAGAUCUACAUUGAAUCAGCACAAGUCAUUGGAAAUUUGUUUUUGGAAGUUGUAUAAUUAUUAAAUCUGAUUUAAUGUUUAUGUUAACUACUUUUAAUUUGUUCUCUAUAUAAGGAGCUGAUGUAUGCUGAAAAUCUAUCAAUAAAAAAUUAUGAGAUCACUAAAAAUAUUUUCAAGUAAGGUAGAGUUAUAAGUUUGGGACCUCAGUUUCAAAAAAUGAAGGUUAGUUCUUAAUAAAUAAAGGGAAGCGGGCACAAAGUUCAGAAGAUUCAUCAAAAAAAGGAAAAUAACCUCCUUGUGAAAGUUGUGGUAAAUUUAAUUAUCUUGAGAGCAAAUGUUGGAAGCAUGUACAAUGCAUUAUUUGCAAAAAGGUCAUUCAAAGAAAGUGUGCUAGAAGAGAAAAAAUUAAACAUCAUAGCAAAAUAAUGAGCCUCAACAAUAGCAGUAAGCAUUUCAGCAACAACAAGUCUAUUUUGCUGAGAAGCAUGAACAAUAAGAAAAUCAUCUUUUUAUAAUGACUGAGGCCUCUUGUGUGAGUGAAAAUGACUUGUGGUAUGUGGACAGUGGGUGCACAAGCCAUAUGACCGAGGAUUGUAUGUUGUUUAGUAACAUUGAUGUUAAUUGCAGAACUAAAGUGAAAUUUGACAAUAGGACAGUUGUGAAAGUUCAAGAAAAAGACUCAAUACUAGUUCAAACUAAGUAAGGUACCAAAUUCAUAAUUGGUGUGCUCUUUAUUUCUGAUUUAGAAUAAAAUUUGUUGAGUAUUGCUCAAAUGUAAAACAAGUGCUAUUCCAUUUUGUUAAAAAAUGAUUAUUGUUUUAUUUAUGAUCUUACAAAUGUGCUAAUAACAAACAUGAAGAAAAAUGAAAAUAGUUAUGAGUUUAGUAUGAAAUAUGCAAAUCAACAUGUUUGUGUUGCUGAGGAUGAUUUGACCUGGUUGUGACACAAAAGAUUUGACCAUGACUGUUGACUCUUUUAAGUUUAUGUAAAAGAGUAGGAAUGUGCUUGUUGAU
This 4387-nucleotide long non-coding RNA is filed under the name Carica papaya (papaya). Its description in RNAcentral is "long non-coding RNA (CPAP_LNC001939)". The record is from RNAcentral. Lineage: Eukaryota; Viridiplantae; Streptophyta; Magnoliopsida; Brassicales; Caricaceae.